Molecule: long non-coding RNA, 961 nt
Organism: Lutra lutra (Eurasian river otter)
Lineage: Eukaryota; Metazoa; Chordata; Mammalia; Carnivora; Mustelidae
Exons: 3
Source: RefSeq, a predicted model, not a curated record
AAUGCAAGCCAUGUUUCAGGAAGACUAACCUGGGGGUGGGGAGCACAGGAGAUACAGGGGCAGGAGAAGAAAGCGAGACAGAAUGAAGGCAAAGGAACCAGCUGGAGGUAAACAAGAUUGGAAGUAAUCAAAGACACCUGACAAGUAAUCAAAGCCUCCUUAUUGUUAAGGGCUCCAUUGCCUUCCUGAUCAUGAACUGCCAACUCUCUCACAAAAUAUUGGCAGAGAAACAUUGUAAACAGGAAGGAAGAAGGAACUUUGUUUCAGAAGCUAUAGUAAAACAUCCGCCUUUCCAAAUGGUUCAGAGACGCUGUGUACAGCUCCGUCUGCUGUUAAAAUCUGUUUUCAGGAGAUUAGACACUACCACACACACGUACCUUCAAUUACUAGAGAAUCAUAGUAAUGGUUUUAUUUCCUUUUAACUGCCCACUAUUAGGCCCACGAGAGAGGAGGGGAGAGCGAGAGAGAAAAAGGGUAGGAGAGGGACUUGGCAGAAGGGAAAAUAAGUCCCUUCCAGGUAGACAAGCUUCAAGUUAAUGAAGUGUUCUGCUAGCAAGAUUCUCAACAAGAUGUGAGACACUCCUCUGUCCCUGAGGGGUCCCACCAUGGAAACUCAGGUUUGUAAAAAGCCCCUUUUAAAUGUGCCUUUCAGAACUGAAUAUACCAGAUGAGAUGUAGUGGGGCAGACCCAGAUUUAAGUGGGUUGUGGCCAUCCUUCCAUCCCUGAUGAGGAUGGCAGGCUGUACUUCAACUCCACCUUGACCUCAUGCUAAGAUUCAAGUCCAGUCAACGAAGUCUAGUGUCGAUCAGUACUCAUCCACACUCCACAGGGUAGAAUCACAAAUACCCUCUCCUACCAAAUCUGAUACCCAACUGCCUUCCCCACUAUGCUUUUGAACAAACCCUUCAUUCCAGGUAGGCCAGCCUACCCACUUUCUGUACGAUUUUUGUAUUUUGAACU